UCCCCGACAGUCCAAUGGUUAGGACUCGGUGUUUUCACGGCCACAGCCCAGGUUCAAUCCCUGGUUGGGGAA
Molecule: transfer RNA, 72 nt
Filed under: Bos taurus (domestic cattle)
Lineage: Eukaryota; Metazoa; Chordata; Mammalia; Artiodactyla; Bovidae
Also listed under: 2 other names
Rfam family: tRNA
About the family: Transfer RNA (tRNA) molecules are approximately 80 nucleotides in length. Their secondary structure includes four short double-helical elements and three loops (D, anti-codon, and T loops).
Source: Rfam by way of RNAcentral